Molecule: small nuclear RNA, 303 nt
Filed under: Nannospalax galili (Upper Galilee mountains blind mole rat)
Lineage: Eukaryota; Metazoa; Chordata; Mammalia; Rodentia; Spalacidae
Description: 7SK RNA (ENSNGAG00000002553.1)
Rfam family: 7SK RNA
About the family: 7SK was discovered as an abundant small nuclear RNA in the mid-70s but a possible function has only recently been suggested. Two independent studies have found that 7SK RNA binds the CDK9/cyclin T complex (known as elongation factor P-TEFb).
Source: Rfam by way of RNAcentral
GAGUCUAAAGGAGAACGGGCUGCCACAUCUGUCACUCCAAUGAUCACCAGGGUUGAAUGGGCUGAUAGCGGCUGGGCAGGUGUCCCAUUACCCUGCACAGCUCCACGUGCAUCCUACCAGAAGCUGUAUGCUCGGCAGAAGACCAGAACCUUCCAUGACAGAGGAAGGCCAUCUUUGGUCAAGGGUGCACAAGUAGUUGUGUUACCCCCGGCUAGAACCCCUGCUAGAAGCUCCCAAGGUUAAGUCGGGGGAGGGAACUCUUAUUUGUUUAUAUAUGUAGUUGUUUAAUUUGUUAGUGAUGCU